UGCCUGUACCAUAACCGACACAGGUGGGUAAGUAGAGUAUACUAAGGGGCGCGAGAUAACUCUCUCUAAGGAACUCGGCAAAAUAACUCCGUAACUUCGGGAGAAGGAGUGCCUUAUUCUUAAGGUUGCAAUAACAAGAUCCAAGCAACUGUUUAUCAAAAACACAGGUCUCCGCUAAGUCGUAAGACGAUGUAUGGGGGCUGACGCCUGCCCAGUGCCAGAAGGUUAAAGAAGUCGGUUAGCAAUAGCAAAGCUGGUAACUGAAGCCCUGGUGAACGGCGGCCGUAACUAUAACGGUCCUAAGGUAGCGAAAUUCCUUGUCGGGUAAGUUCCGACCCGCACGAAUGGCGUAAUGAUUUGGAUGCUGUCUCGGAGAGGGGCUCGGUGAAAUAGACUUGUCUGUGAAGAUGCGGACUACCUGCACCAGGACAGAAAGACCCUAUGAAGCUUUACUGUAACUUGAAAUUGAAAUUGGACUUUAUUCGCGCAGUAUAGGUGGGAGGCGUUGAUUAUAAUCUUGUGGGAUUAUUGGAGCCAUCAGUGAGAUACCACUCUUGUAAUGUUAGAUUUCUAACUUUGAAUCAUUAUCUGGUCAAAGGACAGUUUCAGGCGGGCAGUUUGACUGGGGCGGUCGCCUCCUAAACGGUAACGGAGGCGUACAAAGGUUUCCUCUGAACGGUUAGAAAUCGUAUCUAGAGUGUAAAGGCAUAAGGAAGCUUGACUGUGAGACCUACAAGUCGAGCAGGGACGAAAGUCGGUCUUAGUGAUCUGACGGUACUGAGUGGAAAGGCCGUCACUCAACGGAUAAAAGUUACUCUAGGAUAACAGGCUGAUCUCCCCCAAGAGUUCACAUCGACGGGGAGGUUUGGCACCUCGAUGUCGGCUCAUCGCAUCCUGGGGCGGUAGUACGUCCCAAGGGUUGGGCUGUUCGCCCAUGAAAGCGGUACGCGAGCUGGGUUCAGAACGUCGUGAGACAGUUCGGUCCAUAUCCGGUGUAGGCGCUAGAAUAUUGAGAGGAGCCUUCUUUAGUACGAGAGGACCGAGAAGGACAUACCUCUGGUGUACCAGUUAUCGUGCCAACGGUAAACGCUGGGUAGCUAUGUAUGGAGUGGAUAACCGCUGAAAGCAUCUAAGUGGGAAGCCCACCUCAAGAUAAGUAUUCUCAUCACGUAAGUGAGUAAGGUCACGGUAAGACUAACCGUUUGAUAGGCAUUAAGUGUGAGUACAGUAAUGUAUGUGCUGAGAUGUCCUAAUAGACCGAGGAC
This 1265-nucleotide ribosomal RNA is filed under the name metagenome. RNAcentral describes it as "bacterial LSU rRNA". It matches the Rfam family "Bacterial large subunit ribosomal RNA", at positions 1639 to 2925 of the family's 2925-position model. The record is from RNAcentral.